Molecule: long non-coding RNA, 1694 nt
Organism: Pistacia vera
Lineage: Eukaryota; Viridiplantae; Streptophyta; Magnoliopsida; Sapindales; Anacardiaceae
Exons: 3
Source: RefSeq, a predicted model, not a curated record
UACUCUGCUUGCCAAACCAGAAAGCAAGUAAAAGAGCAAAUACCCAUAAUCUGUUUCAACUUUCUCUCUCUCUGAUGGUGAUACCCAUUUACUCUUUCUGGUUUUAUUUUAGUCGUAGUGUUGCUGCCUCUUCAAUCUGGCUGCUCUGACUGGGUUCAUUUGGCCGUGAUUCCAAACUUGGGAGUAAAUGACAAAACAAAAGGCUUUUGUUGUGCCACCAAAACCCGGAAAUUCAACAUCAAAUUUCUCUUGAAGUUCUCCGAGGAUCAAUAUCCAUGAAUUUAUUUUGCUGGCCUCAAUGUUAUUCUGUCAUGGGCCAAGGAAGAGUCACAACACCUAGUGUUGUGGGAUUCUUGGUGUCUUGAAAAUGCACAUCAAGAUUACCUGAAGAAGGCUUAUAAAGGAACUGCUAUAAUGAGUCAUCCAACAAAUGUGAAGAUCCUGAUAAGAAAGGUUCCUGCAAUCGUAUCUUUUUGUUGAAUAUUAUGCUAUAGGCUAUGCGUCACUUAUUCUUCCACGUAAAAACUUCUGGAUAUGGUAGUAUCAUGUGUGUAUUAAUGCAUUGUUUUUUAUGUAUAAGUCGCUACAGUCACCUACUUUGAAUGCUUAAACUAGUUGAUGUUGAGCAGUUUAGAGUGCCUGUAUGGCAAUUUACCCGAAGUAUGGAUAGGCCUAUAGCCAAAUACCAAAAUAUAAAUUGGUAGGCAUUUCUGGGAUCACAAGAACAGAUAAAAGAGGAAGGUCCUUGUUUUGUUAACUGGCGUGUCAAGUUAAUGAAGCAGGACAACCGAAUUAUUGUAGAGAGGAUCAGCCUUCCAGACUAUCAAGAUAUCUUAUAUUGGUGGGAUUUUGCUGUCUGUCCAUAACUAUAUUUGGUUGAUAGAAUUUUUUUUUCCCAGUAGAAUCUAUCAGUUUUGAGAUCAGAUUUCUGGUUAGCUGAAACUUCAUACAUUUACUGUCGCUAUUACAUGCAUCGUGAAAGCUUAUUUGGUGGAGGUAUUGCUGUUUUUAAAAGUCAAAAGUGAGACCUAAGAUAUAUGAUGCAAUCACCCUUUUCUUCUAAAAAAUUAUGUUGCAUUUUCAUUUCCUUUCUUGAAAUGGUCGUGGGACCAUCAUACACAUUUCUCUUUACCUCAAGUUUGCUCUCUUCUUUGCCCAACUAAAAUAUGCCUACUGGAUUGGAUGGAGUUUUAUUUGUCACUUGUAAAAGAUUUUAUGAAAUGUUGAAUAUGAUAUUUAGCUCCUGGGAAUAUUAAUGUAAAUAAUCUGUUGAUUGUAGGAGCAUCCAUACUUGAACAGGCCCAUGGUACAAAUUGUGUCCAUGCGGUACUAGCGAAUGGAUGAAGUUGCUUUUCCUCAGCAAUGCUGCCUCAGAUAAACAUGGAGAAUCGGUUGAACAAUAUCUAAACUCUUGGUUCUCAGUUGUUGGGCAGGUAGUUGGUCUUAGAAUCCCAUUUGAAAUGUUGAACGAUAGUAAUCAAUCUAUCUUCAGUGGAAGAAGUUGAAUAUAUAUAUACUGGGAUAUGGGGAAUCUGAUAAAACCCAAGGCUCUACAAUGAAAAUGCCCAAAAGAAUAACACAGUUUAGGUAUGCUGGAAAUGUCUAAAUAUGGAGAUAAAUGAAACAAACAGAUCAUCAGUGGCUAUUUCUCCCAAGUAAUUCCGCGGUACUAAGUUACUAACUAUUGUUUUCUU